RNAcentral lists this unclassified non-coding RNA (306 nucleotides) under plant metagenome. Its description in RNAcentral is "partial contains 5.8S ribosomal RNA, internal transcribed spacer 2, and large subunit ribosomal RNA". The stretch from base 1 to 105 matches the Rfam family "5.8S ribosomal RNA", at positions 50 to 154 of the family's 154-position model. The record is from RNAcentral.
GAAAUGCGAUAAGUAGUGUGAAUUGCAGAAUUCAGUGAAUCAUCGAAUCUUUGAACGCACAUUGCGCCCCUUGGUAUUCCAUGGGGCAUGCCUGUUCGAGCGUCAUUUGUACCUUCAAGCUUUGCUUGGUGUUGGGUGUUUGUCUCGCCUCUGCGCGCAGACUCGCCUCAAAACAAUUGGCAGCCGGCGUAUUGAUUUCGGAGCGCAGUACAUCUCGCGCUUUGCACUCAUAACGACGACGUCCAAAAAGUACAUUUUUUACACUCUUGACCUCGGAUCGGGUAGGGAUACCCGCUGAACUUAAGC